GAAAAAAUGUUCUGAGCUUAAUCAAAAGCCUAUCUAAUAAUAAUAAGUCCUGCAGCGGGCUUGUAAAGAAUGCAGAUCAGACCCACUUAGCCAUAAUGGUUCUACAAAGUAAUGAAGACUCAAGUGGUCCUUAUUAGGUAUCAAGCUGUGAAUCAGAACUCAUCUAACAUCCUGAUUGCUAAAGGAAAUUGGUAAUUGAUGUGACAGAAUGGCCAUUAUUACUAUUAUUAUUACUUAUUAUUUUUUUUUAAAUCCAGACAUAGCGGCUAGGAGCCUGCCCCCAGCCUCCUUGGGGUAUACCAGGUGUGCAGGACCAGCGUGGCCAGAGCAAUCGUCUUAAUUAAUCAAAGCCCAGGAGCAGAGAUGAAGACAUCUUGCUUGGCAGUAGAGUUUGUGUCUGGGGAGGAAAGUGCAAUGGCCAGAACUCAUUGCAUGGUUCUAUGCAGCAACAAAAGGCCUGAGAAGCAAACCAGAACAGAAGGAGAUUUCCAUAGGCCACCAGCCAGAACAUGACUUGGAGGAUGGAAUGCUCUGUGAGGCUUUUGAUAUGGAUGUGACUACUGGAAACUAUCUAACUGCUAUCUCAGACCACGAGGCAACCUAGAGGAUGGAAACCACGUGCUGAAGGUGAUGGAACAUAAUGUUUGCAGGAGCCUGACACCAUGGCCCUGCCAUGAAAUCCUGGACUGCCUUGCUCCAGACUGCUUUCACUUGUUUGCAGAGGGAAGACAUUUCCCAUAGCAGUUAAUCCUUCAUUGGCAGAAGUGGAAAUCCUAGACUUUUAACAAAGGAAGCAAUUAAUGCAGGGACACACCCCUUGUAAAAAAGGUGCUUAGGAUUGGAAGGUUUUUAUAUAAGUAAAGG
RNAcentral lists this long non-coding RNA (864 nucleotides) under Equus caballus (horse). Its description in RNAcentral is "lncRNA (ENSECAG00000029560.3)". Lineage: Eukaryota; Metazoa; Chordata; Mammalia; Perissodactyla; Equidae. The record is from RNAcentral.